UACGGGGGGGGCAAGCGUUGUUCGGAAUUACUGGGCGUAAAGGGCUCGUAGGCGGCCAACUAAGUCAGACGUGAAAUCCCUCGGCUUAACCGGGGAACUGCGUCUGAUACUGGACGGCUUGAGAUUGGGAGAGGGAUGCGGAAUUCCAGGUGUAGCGGUGAAAUGCGUAGAUAUCUGGAGGAACACCGGUGGCGAAGGCGGCAUCCUGGACCAACACUGACGCUGAGUGAGCGAAAGCCAGGGGAGCAAACGGG
This 254-nucleotide ribosomal RNA is filed under the name uncultured bacterium. RNAcentral's name for it is "partial 16S ribosomal RNA". It matches the Rfam family "Bacterial small subunit ribosomal RNA", at positions 524 to 776 of the family's 1533-position model. The record is from RNAcentral.